UACGGGGGGGGCAAGCGUUGUUCGGAUUUACUGGGCGUAAAGGGCGCGUAGGCGGCGCGACAAGUCACUUGUGAAAUCUCCGGGCUUAACCCGGAGCGGCCAAGUGAUACUGUCGUGCUAGAGUGCGGAAGGGGCUACUGGAAUUCUCGGUGUAGCGGUGAAAUGCGUAGAUAUCGAGAGGAACACCUGCGGCGAAGGCGGGUAGCUGGGCCGACACUGACGCUGAGGCGCGAAAGCCAGGGGAGCGAACGGG
RNAcentral lists this ribosomal RNA (253 nucleotides) under uncultured bacterium. RNAcentral's name for it is "partial 16S ribosomal RNA". It matches the Rfam family "Bacterial small subunit ribosomal RNA", at positions 524 to 776 of the family's 1533-position model. The record is from RNAcentral.